AUUGAACGCUGGCGGCAUGCUUUACACAUGCAAGUCGAACGGCAGCGCGGGGGCAACCCUGGCGGCGAGUGGCGAACGGGUGAGUAAUGCAUCGGAACGUAUCCUGUAAUGGGGGGAUAACGUAGCGAAAGUUACGCUAAUACCGCAUACGCUCGAGAGAGGAAAGUGGGGGAUCGCAAGACCUCACGUUGUAGGAGCGGCCGAUGUCCGAUUAGCUAGUUGUGGGUAAGCCUACCAAGGCGACGAUCGGUAGCUGGUCUGAGAGGAUGAUCAGCCACACUGGGACUGAGACACGGCCCAGACUCCUACGGAGGCAGCAGUGGGGAAUUUUGGACAAUGGGCGAAAGCCUGAUCCAGCCAUGCCGCGUGCGGGA
This 374-nucleotide ribosomal RNA is filed under the name uncultured bacterium. RNAcentral describes it as "bacterial SSU rRNA". It matches the Rfam family "Bacterial small subunit ribosomal RNA", at positions 30 to 408 of the family's 1533-position model. The record is from RNAcentral.